GAUGAGCAUGCGUCCCAUUAGCUAGUUGGUAAGGUAACGGCUUACCAAGGCUACGAUGGGUAGGGGCCCUGAGAGGGAGAUCCCCCACACUGGUACUGAGACACGGACCAGACUCCUACGGGAGGCAGCAGUGAGGAAUAUUGGACAAUGGGCGCAAGCCUGAUCCAGCCAUGCCGCGUGCAGGAUGACGGUCCUAUGGAUUGUAAACUGCUUUUGCACAGGAAGAAACAACAUUACGUGUAAUGUCUUGACGGUACUGUGAGAAUAAGGAUCGGCUAACUCCGUGCCAGCAGCCGCGGUAAUACGGAGGAUCCAAGCGUUAUCCGGAAUCAUUGGGUUUAAAGGGUCCGUAGGCGGUUUAGUAAGUCAGUGGUGAAAGCCCAUCGCUCAACGGUGGAACGGCCAUUGAUACUGCUAGACUUGAAUUAUUAGGAAGUAACUAGAAUAUGUAGUGUAGCGGUGAAAUGCUUAGAGAUUACAUGGAAUACCAAUUGCGAAGGCAGGUUACUACUAAUGGAUUGACGCUGAUGGAC
RNAcentral lists this ribosomal RNA (533 nucleotides) under uncultured Bacteroidota bacterium. RNAcentral's name for it is "bacterial SSU rRNA". It matches the Rfam family "Bacterial small subunit ribosomal RNA", at positions 224 to 754 of the family's 1533-position model. The record is from RNAcentral. Lineage: Bacteria; Pseudomonadati; Bacteroidota.